This 486-nucleotide ribosomal RNA is filed under the name uncultured bacterium. Its description in RNAcentral is "partial 16S ribosomal RNA". It matches the Rfam family "Bacterial small subunit ribosomal RNA", at positions 30 to 507 of the family's 1533-position model. The record is from RNAcentral.
AUUGAACGCUGGCGGCAUGCCUUACACAUGCAAGUCGAACGGCAGCACGGGUGCUUGCACCUGUUGGCGAGUGGCGAACGGGUGAGUAAUACAUCGGAACAUGUCCUGUAGUGGGGGAUAGCCCGGCGAAAGCCGGAUUAAUACCGCAUACGAUCUACGGAUGAAAGCGGGGGACCUUCGGGCCUCGCGCUAUAGGGUUGGCCGAUGGCUGAUUAGCUAGUUGGUGGGGUAAAGGCCUACCAAGGCGACGAUCAGUAGCUGGUCCGAGAGGACGACCAGCCACACUGGGACUGAGACACGGCCCAGACUCCUACGGGAGGCAGCAGUGGGGAAUUUUGGACAAUGGGCGAAAGCCUGAUCCAGCAAUGCCGCGUGUGUGAAGAAGGCCUUCGGGUUGUAAAGCACUUUUGUCCGGAAAGAAAUCCUUGGCUCUAAUACAGUCGGGGGAUGACGGUACCGGAAGAAUAAGCACCGGCUAACUACGUG